CCCCUCUCAGGGUCGCAUCUGGAGAGUUUGCAGUGCUCUACCAGUCUCGGCUACGGGGGGGAGAGUCAAGCAGAGGCCUGUCCGUUCCAUUCCUACUUUGGGCAGUGAUUAGCGAACGGAAGACAAUCUGCUACAAGU
Molecule: small nucleolar RNA, 138 nt
Filed under: Ornithorhynchus anatinus (platypus)
Lineage: Eukaryota; Metazoa; Chordata; Mammalia; Monotremata; Ornithorhynchidae
Source: RNAcentral